GACGAACGCUGGCGGCGUGCUUAACACAUGCAAGUCGAACGGAAAGGCCCUGCUUUUGUGGGGUGCUCGAGUGGCGAACGGGUGAGUAGCACGUGAGUAACCUGCCCUUGACUUUGGGAUAACUUCAGGAAGCUGGGGCUAAUGCCGGAUAGGAGCUCCUGCUGCAUGGUGGGGGUUGGAAAGUUUCGGCGGUUGGGGAUGGACUCGCGGCUUAUCAGCUUGUUGGUGGGGUAGUGGCUUACCAAGGCUUUGACGGGUAGCCGGCCUGAGAGGGUGACCGGCCACAUUGGGACUGAGAUACGGCCCAGACUCCUACGGGAGGCAGCAGUGGGGAAUAUUGCACAAUGGGCGGAAGCCUGAUGCAGCAACGCCGCGUGCGGGAUGACGGCCUUCGGGUUGUAAACCGCUUUCGCCUGUGACGAAGCGUGAGUGACGGUAAUGGGUAAAGAAGCACCGGCUAACUACGUG
RNAcentral lists this ribosomal RNA (468 nucleotides) under uncultured bacterium. RNAcentral describes it as "partial 16S ribosomal RNA". It matches the Rfam family "Bacterial small subunit ribosomal RNA", at positions 28 to 507 of the family's 1533-position model. The record is from RNAcentral.